ACAAAUUACAAACACUAUUUAACAUUGUAGAAAAAUUGCAUAGUUUGUAAAAUUGUGAACUGAAUGCUUUUAUUCUAUUUUGAAUGUAAUAAACUAUUUGAGCUUUGCUGCCCUUUUCAUGUUUCAUAAAUUUGUACCUGCUUAUAACAGAAAUUUAAAUAAAGUACAGUUUCAAAGUUAGGACAGAAUAUAAAGAUCACCUGUAUUGUUAUAAUGAAUGAAUUAUAGAUAUUGUUUUUAUCAAAAGAUCUAUUAAAUAUUGUUUCCAACAAAUAGUGAUAUCCCAUUGUACUUACUUUUAUAGAUUAACCUUGAGGAAGAAAAUGGAAUUUUUCUUGCCAGCAAUGAGAUUUUUGUAAGAUCCACUGUUAACUUUUUGUUUUUAUUUGAGUUUGUCUUUCAUUGAAUGCAAUCAUGACUCGUCUUUCAUUUUAAGUAUUAAUAUUAUUUUAGUUAUAAGGACCAAACUUGCUUGUUUUAAUAUUUG
RNAcentral lists this long non-coding RNA (487 nucleotides) under Mytilus galloprovincialis (Mediterranean mussel). Lineage: Eukaryota; Metazoa; Mollusca; Bivalvia; Mytilida; Mytilidae. The record is from RNAcentral.